CCUACGGGAGGCAGCAGUGGGGAAUAUUGGACAAUGGGCGCAAGCCUGAUCCAGCCAUGCCGCGUGUGUGAAGAAGGCCCUCGGGUUGUAAAGCACUUUCAGUGAGGAAGAACGCCGUCGGGUUAAUACCCCGGCGGAAAGACAUCACUCACAGAAGAAGCACCGGCUAACUCCGUGCCAGCAGCCGCGGUAAUA
RNAcentral lists this ribosomal RNA (195 nucleotides) under uncultured Halomonas sp. RNAcentral describes it as "partial 16S ribosomal RNA". It matches the Rfam family "Bacterial small subunit ribosomal RNA", at positions 338 to 525 of the family's 1533-position model. Lineage: Bacteria; Pseudomonadati; Pseudomonadota; Gammaproteobacteria; Oceanospirillales; Halomonadaceae. The record is from RNAcentral.